CCUGCUCUACUGCUGUGCUGAAAGCAAAGUCUCCUGGAGACCUGCAGUUCAGAGCGUUCAAGAACUACAACCUGUCAGCAAGAGUACUGGGAAUGAGGUCUGCCUGGAUAACCCUGUCCAUCAUUCAGCUCUGUGCUCAUGACCAGCUUUGUUUUGAUUCUAUACAGAUCAGUUACAACCCAGCAAAGAAUAUCCAAGGGAUUCAAGAUCUCACCCAGUCUGAGCAGAGGACUUAUCCCCCAUUUACCUGGAGAGGAAAGCAGGACUGUGGCUGCACCACCAUGGACACAGGAUUUUAUGGGCCACCAGAGCCAAUCAAACUGUCACAUGCUAAAUGUAAGAAUGUUCCCUGGCUUGAGGGCUGAAAAACUGAAUGAACAAUUGGAACAAAAGUCUGGUAAUAGGGAAUUCUGUGGAAUGGCCUAAACACCAAAGAAAUAGUUUACAGAUCCACAUGAGGAGCUGCACUAUAAUUGGUGAGUCCAGAUUUUUCCUUCACUGCCAUUCAUAGUUACAGAAGUGCAUAAAACGAUCAUUGCUUAUUUUAA
This is a long non-coding RNA of Passer domesticus (house sparrow), 548 nucleotides long. RefSeq lists it as uncharacterized. The record is from RefSeq and is a predicted model, not a curated record. Lineage: Eukaryota; Metazoa; Chordata; Aves; Passeriformes; Passeridae. The transcript has 3 exons.